This 852-nucleotide ribosomal RNA is filed under the name uncultured Pseudomonas sp. RNAcentral describes it as "bacterial SSU rRNA". It matches the Rfam family "Bacterial small subunit ribosomal RNA", at positions 58 to 905 of the family's 1533-position model. The record is from RNAcentral. Lineage: Bacteria; Pseudomonadati; Pseudomonadota; Gammaproteobacteria; Pseudomonadales; Pseudomonadaceae.
CAAGUCGAGCGGUUGACGGGAGCUUGCUCCCUGAUUCAGCGGCGGACGGGUGAGUAAUGCCUAGGAAUCUGCCUAUUAGUGGGGGACAACGUUUCGAAAGGAACGCUAAUACCGCAUACGUCCUACGGGAGAAAGCAGGGGACCUUCGGGCCUUGCGCUAAUAGAUGAGCCUAGGUCGGAUUAGCUAGUUGGUGAGGUAAUGGCUCACCAAGGCGACGAUCCGUAACUGGUCUGAGAGGAUGAUCAGUCACACUGGAACUGAGACACGGUCCAGACUCCUACGGGAGGCAGCAGUGGGGAAUAUUGGACAAUGGGCGAAAGCCUGAUCCAGCCAUGCCGCGUGUGUGAAGAAGGUCUUCGGAUUGUAAAGCACUUUAAGUUGGGAGGAAGGGUUGUAGAUUAAUACUCUGCAAUUUUGACGUUACCGACAGAAUAAGCACCGGCUAACUCUGUGCCAGCAGCCGCGGUAAUACAGAGGGUGCAAGCGUUAAUCGGAAUUACUGGGCGUAAAGCGCGCGUAGGUGGUUUGUUAAGUUGGAUGUGAAAGCCCCGGGCUCAACCUGGGAACUGCAUCCAAAACUGGCAAGCUAGAGUACGGUAGAGGGUGGUGGAAUUUCCUGUGUAGCGGUGAAAUGCGUAGAUAUAGGAAGGAACACCAGUGGCGAAGGCGACCACCUGGACUGAUACUGACACUGAGGUGCGAAAGCGUGGGGAGCAAACAGGAUUACAUACCCUGGUAGUCCACGCCGUAAACGAUGUCAACUAGCCGUUGGAAUCCUUGAGAUUUUAGUGGCGCAGCUAACGCAUUAAGUUGACCGCCUGGGGAGUACGGCCGCAAGGUUAAAACUCAAA